This 403-nucleotide ribosomal RNA is filed under the name uncultured bacterium. Its description in RNAcentral is "bacterial SSU rRNA". It matches the Rfam family "Bacterial small subunit ribosomal RNA", at positions 29 to 431 of the family's 1533-position model. The record is from RNAcentral.
AUUGAACGCUGGCGGAAUGCUUUACACAUGCAAGUCGAACGGCAGCACGGGAGCUUGCUCCUGGUGGCGAGUGGCGAACGGGUGAGUAAUGCGUCGGAACGUGCCGAGUAAUGGGGGGAUAACGCAGCGAAAGUUGUGCUAAUACCGCAUACGCCCUGAGGGGGAAAGUGGGGGAUCGCAAGACCUCACGUUAUUCGAGCGGCCGACGUCUGAUUAGCUAGUUGGUGGGGUAAAGGCCUACCAAGGCGACGAUCAGUAGCGGGUCUGAGAGGAUGAUCCGCCACACUGGGACUGAGACACGGCCCAGACUCCUACGGGAGGCAGCAGUGGGGAAUUUUGGACAAUGGGGGCAACCCUGAUCCAGCCAUUCCGCGUGAGUGAAGAAGGCCUCGGUUGUAAGGAC